This 74-nucleotide transfer RNA is filed under the name Frondihabitans sp. Leaf304. It matches the Rfam family "tRNA". From Rfam's summary of the family: Transfer RNA (tRNA) molecules are approximately 80 nucleotides in length. RNAcentral also lists the same sequence under 7 other names. Lineage: Bacteria; Bacillati; Actinomycetota; Actinomycetes; Micrococcales; Microbacteriaceae. The record is from Rfam by way of RNAcentral.
GGGGCGGUAGCUCAGCUGGUCAGAGCAGGCGACUCAUAAUCGCUCGGUCACGGGUUCAAGUCCCGUCCGCCCUA